AAACUAAAAACACUCCUAAAAGGGAAAACGGUAUUCAUAAAAUAUGUUCAUUUAACUUCAUUCAAAGUAAUAGAAGAAAUUAAGAAAAAAUUUUAAUAUUUGAAUGAACAAUAUUAAAGCUAUACAUUUUAAAAAAGAAAUGACAUCAGAUAUUAGAUUUCUAAGGAAAUUUUCUGCUUUUAGAAAAUAUUAAAGUUUAUGAAGAAAUAAACUUUUUAAACCUGAUUAACUUGUAAGCAUUUUAUAAGCUUCCAAAAUAAUAUAGCAGUUAUUCUAGCACUUUACUUGAAGGCUUUGUAUUUCGUCAAUAUUUUGUCAAACAAUAAUUUAAUAAAGUUUUGGUUUAUGUAAAAUCCAAAUUUUCCUGAUCUAACGGUUUUACUUUGAAGAUCAACACUAUAACUUUGCAACAAUGGUUUUCAAUGCACAGGUUUAACAGUCA
This 442-nucleotide long non-coding RNA is filed under the name Bos taurus (domestic cattle). RNAcentral's name for it is "long non-coding RNA NONBTAT001351". Lineage: Eukaryota; Metazoa; Chordata; Mammalia; Artiodactyla; Bovidae. The record is from RNAcentral.